Paramuricea clavata is the source of this 600-nucleotide non-coding RNA. Lineage: Eukaryota; Metazoa; Cnidaria; Anthozoa; Malacalcyonacea; Plexauridae. The record is from the annotation of a GenBank genome assembly.
AAGCGCUAUAGGUUGAAUUUUACAUGAAAUUGAAGAAUAGCCUGUAUUACGCGUAAAAAAAGAUACACUUGCUAUAAAUAUUUUAGAAAUUAAAUAUUUUGUAAUUAAAAGUACACGUUAUAAUCUUCUUAUUAUUUUUACAAUUUGUUAAAAAAAAUUACAGUGCAAAUACAACAAACUUCCCACUUCUGCUUCUGUAGUCUGUUGUAAUUUUCUGUAAACUGUUCUGUUUUUCUGUAGAUAUUACGAAAUUAUCAACAAAUAUGGGGACAAAAUUUAAUUCUCUUUGUUUUAAUUUGAUAAUUUGAAGAUGCAUUUUUCGCUAUAUUCGCUGCAUUUUAGCACAUGAAACCUGCGAAAUUUGAAUUUUAUCGCCGUAUUUGUCUAUAAAUCGGUAACCGUUACAGUAAUACAGAACAAAUUACAGAAAAUGUCAACAGAUUGCGGAAGUGGGAAGGUUCACUUCUUGUAUUUUGACUGUAAAAUGAAUAAAUUAUUGUGUUAACAUUACCACCACUUCAAAAACGUCAUGUCUGGAAAAGACGUGGUAAUUUGUUACUUGCCAAAAUUGCAAAAAUAAUAAUUUACUUAAAACAAGCA